This 215-nucleotide unclassified non-coding RNA is filed under the name soil metagenome. RNAcentral describes it as "partial contains 5.8S ribosomal RNA, internal transcribed spacer 2, and large subunit ribosomal RNA". The record is from RNAcentral.
AACCAUUCUCACCUGCGGCUAGACCUGCGGAGGGAUCAUUACAAGUGACCCCGGUUUACCACCGGGAUGUUCAUAACCCUUUGUUGUCCGACUCUGUUGCCUCCGGGGCGACCCUGCCCUCGGGCGGGGGCUCCGGGUGGACACUUCAAACUCUUGCGUAACUUUGCAGUCUGAGUAAACUUAAUUAAUAAAUUAAAACUUUCAACAACGGAUCU